RNAcentral lists this long non-coding RNA (563 nucleotides) under Pan troglodytes (chimpanzee). RNAcentral describes it as "lincRNA". The record is from RNAcentral. Lineage: Eukaryota; Metazoa; Chordata; Mammalia; Primates; Hominidae.
GCAGGUGGCCUCCAGGUGCAAAGUGGGAAGUGUGAGUCCUCAGUCUUGGGCUAUUCGGCCACGUGCCUGCCGGACAUGGGACGCUGGAGGGUCAGCAGCGUGGAGUCCUGGCCUUUUGCGUCCACGGGUGGGAAAUUGGCCAUUGCCACGGCGGGAACUGGGACUCAGGCUGCCUCCCGGCCGUUUCUCAUCAGUCCACUGGACUCGUGGGCGCUCGCACUGGCGCUGAUGUAGUUUCCUGACCUCUGACCCGUAUUGUCUCCAGAUUAAAGGUACGACAUUUGGAGGCCCCAGCGAGAAACGCCACCGGGCGAGAGCCGGGCCCGCUGUGUGCUCCCCCGGAAGGACAGCCAGCUUGUAGGGGGGAGCGCCACCUGAAAAAAAAUUUCCAGGUCCCCAAAGGGUGACCGUCUUCCGGAGGACAGCGGAUCGACUACCAUGUGGGUGCCCACAAAAAUUCCACCUCUGAGUCCUCAACUGCUGACCCCGGGGUCAGUAGACAUGGGGUUUCACCAUGUUGCCCAGUCCAGUCUCAAACUUCUGGCUCAAGCAGUCCUCCCGCC